RNAcentral lists this transfer RNA (71 nucleotides) under human gut metagenome. It matches the Rfam family "tRNA". From Rfam's summary of the family: Transfer RNA (tRNA) molecules are approximately 80 nucleotides in length. Their secondary structure includes four short double-helical elements and three loops (D, anti-codon, and T loops). Further hydrogen bonds mediate the characteristic L-shaped molecular structure. tRNAs have two regions of fundamental functional importance: the anti-codon, which is responsible for specific mRNA codon recognition, and the 3' end, to which the tRNAs corresponding amino acid is attached (by aminoacyl-tRNA synthetases). tRNAs cope with the degeneracy of the genetic code in two manners: having more than one tRNA (with a specific anti-codon) for a particular amino acid; and 'wobble' base-pairing, i.e. permitting non-standard base-pairing at the 3rd anti-codon position. The record is from RNAcentral. RNAcentral also lists the same sequence under 3 other names.
GCGAGAUAGCUCAGUUGGCUAGAGCAAUCGGUUCAUACCCGAUAGGUCGAGGGUUCGAAUCCCCCUCUCGC